UGCAAAGCCAAAAUAAGCACAGCCAAGAC
Molecule: non-coding RNA, 29 nt
Filed under: Rattus norvegicus (Norway rat)
Lineage: Eukaryota; Metazoa; Chordata; Mammalia; Rodentia; Muridae
Source: RNAcentral